UGCCAUUGCAGUGAAAUUUGAUUCCUCUUUUCUGAUGAAAAGGAUGACCUGAAAAAAGGACACAAGAAAAGCGGAUUUUUAUGAAAUUUUUGUGUUGUUAAAAGAAUAUAUACGAGACGGCCUAAUAAGAGAGGAAAAAAGAUCGGUUGCCUCCCCUCUGUUGGAAUGCAGCGUUGGAUUUUUGAAUGAGGGCGUAGAUGCCAGGCGAUUAGAGGCAGGAUUAUGCAAAUUGCUCUCACGGACGAGCACAUCAUGAGGCAAUUUGUGGGGUUCGUCGUCUGAUGCAGCAAAUAUUUUGGACAUCUAUUGGAGCACCGUGGAUACGGCAUGUUGUCAGAAAAUUGGGCGUCGUCGCAAGGGAGCAUCAGGUCAUCUCGUCGUCAAGGUACAUGUUUCAUUCUUGCAUGGAAUGUCGUCAGGUGUAUAAAGUAUCACAGAUGGUUGAGAGUCAGCAGUCAACAUCGUUAUAAAUAUUCAACAUUUAUAUUGCAAGGAAGAUGUACAGAGAAGACAAGUUAACUAUGUCACAAGGUUCGCAGAGAUGAUGCAGGCAUUGAGAACAGGAUUAAAGACAACAUGUAACAAGUUUCCGGUGCUUAGGAGGUAAAAAAAAAAUUUGGGAAAAUUGGGGAAUACUCCGGGAGACUCUCCGUUCCCUCGACCACAACCGACUGGGCCCUGGAGCAGAAAGGAAGUGUGGCAUUAAAGCCCGCCAACGUAAUUUUGAAAUUAUAAAAUUGUUAAAUGUUAUUUGCUUUUUAAAAAUUGUUAAAGCCAAA
RNAcentral lists this small RNA (779 nucleotides) under Drosophila ananassae. RNAcentral describes it as "GF26532". The record is from RNAcentral. Lineage: Eukaryota; Metazoa; Arthropoda; Insecta; Diptera; Drosophilidae.